CGCGGCGGCGGCUCCAUGCAAAUUGCAUCGAUCUGUCGGCCGACAUGCCUCCUCAGUUAUUUGUYCCCGUGCUUUGUGCCUGUGGACUGAUCGAUUCGGCUCCUGUGCUGGCUACCCAUUGCGUGGUAUUCCCUCGACCGUUUAGUCUCAUCUCCCUACGGCGACUCCUCGUGUGUCGUCGGGGGAGCUCGGAGAGGCCCUGGCGUUCCCGGUCCGUUGCUGUCGACGUCGCAGCUUGACUUUGGCGCGUUAGGUGCCUCUGUGCCUUCGGAUUCAGUGCCCCGUAAUGGCCCUCUGUGCUCGUUCACUUUGUGCCAUAUUUGACCAUUUUCGUUGAAAUGACGCUCGUUGUUCGCUCCUUCGUGGCAGUGCCUCCCGGUGCUGACUUGUUGGUCGGACCACGACGUCUUCGAGGGAUGUUACCUGGUUGAUCCUGCCAGUAUCAUAUGCUUG
This 453-nucleotide unclassified non-coding RNA is filed under the name Polygala anatolica. Its description in RNAcentral is "partial contains external transcribed spacer and small subunit ribosomal RNA". Lineage: Eukaryota; Viridiplantae; Streptophyta; Magnoliopsida; Fabales; Polygalaceae. The record is from RNAcentral.